Long non-coding RNA from Phragmites australis (common reed), 578 nucleotides. RefSeq lists it as uncharacterized. The record is from RefSeq and is a predicted model, not a curated record. The transcript has 3 exons. NCBI's taxonomy places the organism in Eukaryota, Viridiplantae, Streptophyta, Magnoliopsida, Poales, Poaceae.
UUUUUUGAAACAGAACCCCCUAUAGGACCACUUUCUAUUUCAUAUGCGCGACCAGGCCACGAAGAUGCACGAAAUGCAGUAACAAGGGAUCAUUUCUGCCCAAUUGUGCCACUGCAUAUUGCUGCACAGAAUCGAAGAAAGAGAAAACGUUUAAACCAUUUCAAAGCUCUAACGCGACAAGCUUCGUCAGCUGGUAUAUCACUUUAUUCAUUACAAGAUACAUUUGGAUCAUCAAAAGAGUACACAAAUUUCCUCAAAGGUAUGGAAUCCUGUACCUAUACAUUGAAUAAAUAUAACUACAACAUCUAAUCUUUAACACACGAUAUUAUACUAGAUUUAAUCUAAAAUAACUUUCUUAUUGUUUUUGUUCAUACAUUUAGAGAAAUAUAAAGACCGAUCUUAUUAUGGGGGGCCAGAUUAUGUCUGUGAUAAAUAUGGUGCUAUCUUUUGGUAUCAAGAACGUAUAGAAAAAAACAGUUCAUAUGCCCAGAAAAGAAUUGUAUAUAAUUUAUGUUGUCAUGGUGGGAAAGUCUCAUUACCAUGCUUCAGACCUAGACCAGAACCAUUUAAUGAACUUA